RNAcentral lists this long non-coding RNA (1216 nucleotides) under Triticum aestivum (bread wheat). RNAcentral's name for it is "long non-coding RNA (TAES_LNC009395)". Lineage: Eukaryota; Viridiplantae; Streptophyta; Magnoliopsida; Poales; Poaceae. The record is from RNAcentral.
UUCAUAUUGGCCAUGGUCAAUCCAUCUGGGCAGAUCUUGCAGAAUGGUACUUGUUUCUGCUACUUCCGAAAUUCUUCACCUCAUAAUAUCCAAUGGCUUGUGGAUAAGUAAUUAUUUCAAUUGUACUGCCAGAUCUUAUCCUACCAUGUUUUUAGACCACUGAUUGUUUAGAAUAUAUGUUUCUGUGUUUUUCAUAUCAUGGUGCUACUUUCUGUUGUAUGACAUUUGCACAUAAAUUUUCAGACAAUCUAUUUGGAGUAGAAUAUAAGAGAAUUCAUACUAUUUUAAUUACAGGAGAAAUUGAUAAUGGGUUGUUCAUAAUCAGACCAAGCUGGCACUAUUGAUGUAUCAGUUCACCAGAAAUCUCUUUAAAAUGGAAUUCUUUGCAGGGGAUUGUUAGUUGGUCUAUCACUGUUCUCAAGUAGCUGAGGAUAUAUGUUAUUUGUGAAAAAAAUGAGUUGCUACCAUUGUUGAACUACUCUGCUACCAUGUCAAGAAAUUGGUCUAACUGUUGAAGAUAUUGUCCAUUUUAGGUGCCUGCUCUUCAUACAUCUCGCACUCUGUUGUCUCAUUGUAACGCAGAAAAACCGCUGAAAAGGUAUUAUUCCAGACACAUUCAUUUGAUCCCCCAACUAAUAAUUAGAUUUCUAUUUGUACCUUUACUUUCAAGAAAUUAACUUGACCAGCUCUGGCUGAAGCUGAAAAUUGAUGCCAGUUUUAUUAGUGAAACAUGCCAAAGCUCAUGGCUGGCGAUAUGCCACAGGUUCAGUUAUGUUGCGUGUGGGUGUGCAUGUCGCCACAUUCAGAGCUUCAAAGAAGCAGCCUCAGGAAGCUAUAGCUUGCAUGGAAGGAGUCUGGCGCCGUCCGUUUCAAGCCUACCAGUGAUCGGAUCGCCGGGAGACAUUAAUUGAGAUGUUGAGGAUCUGAAAACGUAUGGACCAGCAGAUCUUCAAUUGCAAGGGUAUUAGAAAAACAAGAAAACAAAACAACUUAGGCUGCUACCAGGCUAAGGGUGGUGCUGAUUAUUGACAUUAAAAGUAAUGAAGAUGCACAUAUUCUGGUUUAGUAGAGACUAGAGAGGUGUCAAGUGUGGUGUUUGCAAGAUCUGCAACCUCUCGUGUUGAGAGUUACAUCGCACGAUUUUAAUACUACCUCUUAACCUUGAUUAAUAUACACCUAUUUUAUUAGCCGCUUUUGGAAGUUGCAUACAUUUCAU